Molecule: ribosomal RNA, 468 nt
Filed under: uncultured bacterium
Lineage: Bacteria
Description: partial 16S ribosomal RNA
Rfam family: Bacterial small subunit ribosomal RNA
Source: RNAcentral
GACGAACGCUGGCGGCGUGCUUAACACAUGCAAGUCGAACGGAAAGGCCCUGCUUUUGUGGGGUGCUCGAGUGGCGAACGGGUGAGUAACACGUGAGUAACCUGCCCUUGACUUUGGGAUAACUUCAGGAAACUGGGGCUAAUACCGGAUAGGAGCUCCUGCUGCAUGGUGGUGGUUGGAAAGUUUCGGCGGUUGGGGAUGGACUCGCGGCUUAUCAGCUUGUUGGUGGGGUAGUGGCUUACCAAGGCUUUGACGGGUAGCCGGCCUGAGAGGGUGACCGGCCACAUUGGGACUGAGAUACGGACCAGAAUCCUACGGGAGGCAGCAGUGGGGAAUAUUGCACAAUGGGCGGAAGCCUGAUGCAGCAACGCCGCGUGCGGGAUGACGGCUUACGGGUUGUAAACCGCUUUCGCAUGUGAUGAAGAGUGAGUGACGGUAAUGGGUAAAGAAGCAACGGCUAACUACGUG